Molecule: ribosomal RNA, 497 nt
Filed under: uncultured bacterium
Lineage: Bacteria
Description: partial 16S ribosomal RNA
Rfam family: Bacterial small subunit ribosomal RNA
Source: RNAcentral
GAUGAACGCUGGCGGCGUGCCUAAUACAUGCAAGUCGAGCGAACAGACGAGGAGCUUGCUCCUCUGACGUUAGCGGCGGACGGGUGAGUAACACGUGGAUAACCUACCUAUAAGACUGGGAUAACUUCGGGAAACCGGAGCUACUACCGGAUAAUAUAUUUAACCUCAUGGUUCAAUAGUGAAAUACGGUUUUUCUUUCACUUAUAGAUGGAUCCGCGCCGCAUUAGCUAGUUGGUAAGGUAAGGGCUUACCAAGGCAACGAUGCGUAGCCGACCUGAGAGGGUGAUAGGCCACACCGGAACUGAGCCAAGGUCCAGACUACUACGGGAGGCAGCAGUAGGGAAUCUUACGCAAUGGGCGAAAGCCUGACGGAGCAACGCCGCGUGAGUGAUGAAGGUCUUCGGAUCGUAAAACUAUGUUAUUAGGGAAGAACAAAUGUGUAAGUAACUAUGCACGUCUUGACGGUACCUAAUCAGAAAGCCACGGCUAACUACGUG